UACGAAGGGAGCUAGCGUUGUUCGGAAUUACUGGGCGUAAAGCGUGCGCAGGCGGUGAUGUAAGACAGUUGUGAAAUCCCCGGGCUCAACCUGGGAACUGCAUCUGUGACUGCAUCGCUGGAGUGCGGCAGAGGGGGAUGGAAUUCCGCGUGUAGCAGUGAAAUGCGUAGAUAUGCGGAGGAACACCGAUGGCGAAGGCAAUCCCCUGGGCCUGCACUGACGCUCAUGCACGAAAGCGUGGGGAGCAAACAGG
This 253-nucleotide ribosomal RNA is filed under the name uncultured bacterium. RNAcentral describes it as "partial 16S ribosomal RNA". It matches the Rfam family "Bacterial small subunit ribosomal RNA", at positions 524 to 776 of the family's 1533-position model. The record is from RNAcentral.